CCCAGGUGAAGCAAGUCCAUCAUCAUCCAACACCCUCUCCCUUUCUUCUGUCCUUGGUGGCCUUAAUAUUCUAUCAGCUGCACCAUUUUCAUACUUAUAAUUGACGGUGUCAGAAUACUUUUUCAUAACAAUACAACGUCCAAAACCACGAUCCAAAGAUGCCUUGUUCAUGACUAUUGCAUCCUCUAUGUCAUAGCCACUAUAACUCAUCACAGCAACAGUUGCAUUCUGACCAG
Molecule: unclassified non-coding RNA, 236 nt
Filed under: Hevea brasiliensis (rubber tree)
Lineage: Eukaryota; Viridiplantae; Streptophyta; Magnoliopsida; Malpighiales; Euphorbiaceae
Source: RNAcentral